ACUUCCUUUUUAGGAAAUGAAAAGCAAACAGAAAGGUCUUUUAUUUCAAGGUUCUUGAAUUUCUCACCCUCUGGUCCUACUUUACAUCUUCAAAGCUUAAGUGUGAAACAAAGGAAAAGUAGAAGAAAAGAUGUGUAACAGGAGGACCAGAGUUAAGAGACUCACAGAAUCAUUCUCUCUCCCUCCCUCUGUCCCUCUCCCAUUCUCUUUCUUUCAUUCCUCUCUCCUAACCUCCUGUUCUUCCUUCCUUUCUCUUUCUCCUUCCCUCCCUUCCUCCCUUCCUUCCUUCCUUCUUUCCUUUCCUGCCUUCCUUCCUUCCCUUUCUCUCUCUCUCUCUCCCCCUGUCCUUCCUUCUCCUUUCUCUUCCCUUCCUUUCCCUCCCUUCCCUUCUUUCUUUUCCCUCAGUAUGGGGUGAGGAAGGAUUAGUUACAGCCAGCAGAGGCUAUGGAAGCCAAAGCUUCUCCGAUUUAUACGUGCACAUGCGAUCACUCCAGGAUCUGGAAAAGAUACAGACUCUGAGUCGUGGGUCUGAGGUGAGCCUGAGCUUCAGCAUUUCCAGCAAGCCUGGGACAUGCUGGGCAGCAAGCCUCAUGGAGGCGUCAAGGAAUACAGCGCCGAGCAUCAGCCGAGCCUGGUCUUGCUCUGAUGAGGCCCAACGGGGGCUGGUGACGGCAAUGAGGAGGCCCGGCCCUUGCGAGCAGCCAGCAGCGCCAGGACCAGCUGUCCUGAAAUCUGCAGGCUUGCAUCUUGGCUCUUGGGGAUCUUUUGAGCUCAACAGGCUCCCAUGAAGUCCAGGGAAAGGGACUGAGGAGGUGGAGAGGGAGAGAUGAAGACACGGAGGGCAUCGUGUUGGGCGUCCCUGUGAAUGGUGGAGGAGAGAGAGGUGAUGGGAUGUGCCCCUUUCAGGCUGGACCCACCCAGCCCCUCUGAGCUUCAGAAUCCUCCAAACAGAGAAUCAGAAAACACCCCAGAUGUGAGAUUAGGGUUUUCCAAAGUGUGGUGCAGCUACAAAGGCAGCCCAGUCUGAGUUUCCAGGGAUGGGACCGCUUGCUAUGCUGCCCAGGCAAUUCUGACCCACAGCAAAGUUAGAUAACCACAUCACCACAGCGCUCUCCAGCCUUGAAGGCUUCUCCUUCCCAGUGAGCUGAACUCUCUUCCCUACAGAUGUCUCAAUAGGCUUGGGGGAGGGGCUGCUGUACCCAGUCCUUCUCUCUCUCCAGAGGAACUGGAGGCCACUUAAACCUGGUCCCAUAGCUGCCAAGAGUGGGGCCAGGACAGAGUCCAGAUGGGUGGCCUGCCCCCUCUGCACAGCCACCUCCUUCUCCUCUUGCCCUCGGCAAUGCCCUGCUCAGCAACCUACUGCUUCCCUCUCAGGCAUUUGCUCAAGUCUGUAUCUCUUGCCUCCUAUCCCAGUAUUUCCAACCCACCUGUGUAAUGCAUUCCUCACCUGACAGCACACUGAACUUUCCGAUCAGAUCCCUGACUGCCUCUGCCUCCACGCACACAUUUUCUUUGGUUCCCAG
Molecule: long non-coding RNA, 1523 nt
Filed under: Homo sapiens (human)
Lineage: Eukaryota; Metazoa; Chordata; Mammalia; Primates; Hominidae
Description: non-protein coding lnc-ERG-10:1
Source: RNAcentral